UACGUAGGGGGCUAGCGUUGUCCGGAAUCAUUGGGCGUAAAGAGCGUGUAGGCGGUCCGGUAAGUCCGCUGUGAAAGUCGGGGGCUCAACCCUCGAAUGCCGGUGGAUACUGUCGGGCUAGAGUGCGGAAGAGGCGAGUAGAAUUCCUGGUGUAGCGGUGAAAUGCGCAGAUAUUAGGAGGAACACCGGUGGCGAAGGCGGGACUCUGGGCCGAUACUGACGCUGAGGAGCGAAAGCGUGGGGAGCAAACAGG
RNAcentral lists this ribosomal RNA (253 nucleotides) under uncultured bacterium. Its description in RNAcentral is "partial 16S ribosomal RNA". It matches the Rfam family "Bacterial small subunit ribosomal RNA", at positions 524 to 776 of the family's 1533-position model. The record is from RNAcentral.